GUUCUCCUUAUACAGAGACACUGAAAAUGAGUUCGCAAAAUAAGCCUUCGCUAUAUUGAACACGCCUCUCGAUGUGGUUCGCGACUCCGCCUCUAUGACUCCACCUCUCCUUCGUUCAACAUCGACUCAUCUUCUUCGAAUCUUGACCCAGGCAAGUUUUUCUGAUCUUUCCCUUUGGAACCUCUCUUAUUCCUUCUUCCACCUCUUUGAAUUUUGCAAUUGUCCUCAACAAUUUUGACCUAAAGCUUUGAAUCUCUCCUUCAUUUUCUCUGUUAUUUUCUUCUUCUCUUCUCUAAUUUUCAUAGAAUCCAUAUCUACUGUAGCAAUAUGUAUAUACUUGAUGUUAAUUGGCCAUUAAUUUGUAAUUAGGUAUUUAAGAAAACCUAGAAAUUCAUAAGUAGACUAGACUUUUGGCAUGAAUCCUGAGUUUAUUGAACUUACUGGUUCAUGUGAGAUGAUGCAUCCUUGUGGUUCAGUUUUUCUUGGUUGGUGAUUUAGUGCUAAAAGAUUACACAUAGGAAGAUUUGUAGUUUUGGAGUUUGCCAAAUUUUUUUUUCUUGGUUGGUGAUUUGGUGAUUCAAUUUGUACUGCAUCUAUUUAUCCUUUGCCUGUUGGUUUUAAUACCUUGCUUCUGUUGGGUUUUGAUAGUGAACUAUUUUUGCUUCUGUUGGUAGCAUUUUAAAGUAAUCUAGUUCUGAUGAUUUUCCUAAAUAUCUAUUACAAAUGGUUGUAUUAGCUCUGUAGAAAUUGCAAUUUUUGUUCUAGUUAUCAAACAAGUGUUUGAUAUUCAAAAUUAUGAAUCCCGUAAGUAAUUAUCUAUUUUGCAGAAGGAUUUAAAAUUCACGAGUGUAUUUUUUCUAGUGUGAUAAUUUUAUUUGGGUUUGUACAGGCAUAUACUUAUUUUAUGUUGUUGUAGGCUGUUGUAUUCACUGACAUCAGUCUUGAGAAAGCCAUUGAAUUCAAUGAUUAUUGUCGUAAUCAUCAACCUCCAAUCGCCUUCAUUAAAAUCGAAGCUAGAGGCCUCUUUGGUUUUCUUCUUUUUUCGUUGGCCAUGUCAAAGCAAAGUCAUGCUCUCUUUUUUUUCUUUUUUCUUUUUUUGGAGAAAGAUUUGUAGUUUUGGAGUUUGCAAUUGUCGGUGAUUGAUUGUAUCUGUCAUUUGACAAAGCAAUUUGCGUCCUAUGUUUUCUCAUUUGGUUUCAGCCCAGAUCCCACCAUUUCUUCUAAUAAGCUUCUUGCUAAACCAGGCUUUCCAGCCUUGCCCAUUGCCUCUAACAAAGUAUUGUACACAACCAAAUUAGGCUGCACACCAAUACCAGCCAUUUCCUGCAAGACAUACCUAAUGCCAUCAUAGUCCCCAGCCUCACCAAACAUCUUACCCAAGAUAGAAAAUGCAAUGGGGUCUGGUUUCCACCCACUAGCUCUCCCUCUCUCAUAUAAACUAAGAACCUCCUCAACCUUUCCCAAUUUGGCAUUGGUUUAGGUCUCUCAAAUAAGAAAAUGUAAUAAAUAACAUGGUGUUAAUCAGCAGCAGCAACAUCUUUUGGCCAGUUGUGAAAUAAUCCUACAACUUUUUUCUUCAUAUUUGUUGUGAUAUUAGGCACACAUUGGUUGAUAAUUUUUGGUCCAUUUGAGGUGAAUUUUCCAUACUUUGCAAAUUGUAUUAAUUAUGGCUUUGCAUUAAUUGUUAUGUUUCUAUUUGCAUAUGAAACUGUUUGUUUUCAAUUUGGGGUUAUUUCACUUUCAGUAAGAUUGAUUAAGUGCAAUAAUUCUUUUCUUUUUUGAUUAAUAGAUAUGGAUCAAAGACAAAUGUUUUUUUAUUAAUAAAUAAAAUUGAAGAGACGGAAAAUGUGAUAGAAGGUGAUAUGGUUGGCACCAUUGGAGCAUCAGAUGAAUGGACUACUUGGAGGAAUGACUUGGCUUUCCAAAUGUAUAAUGAGUGGCAAGGAAAUGCGAAUAACUAGCCAACUCUUGUUAUUUAUGUUUGAGUUCUUAAGGUGUUUUCUUUUUUAUGUGAUUGUAAUUUGUAUUUGAGGCAUGAUAAUUCAGCCUUAACAAUGUAUUGAUUGUGGUAUUGUAGUCAAUUUAUCAAUUUGUUUGUUGAUUUUAUUUCUCUUUUUGUUUUUAAGGUUAUGUGAUGUACUAGAGAAGAGUCAUGCUUUGAAACAAAGUUAUGUUUUCUUUGUAAAUUCCAAUUAUUGAUUGUGG
Molecule: long non-coding RNA, 2205 nt
Filed under: Prunus dulcis (almond)
Lineage: Eukaryota; Viridiplantae; Streptophyta; Magnoliopsida; Rosales; Rosaceae
Description: sRNA ncRNA
Source: RNAcentral